AUUCCAUGAUGUGGACAAUUUUUUAUCAUCAUGUUCAACCGGUCGAACGCUUCAUGAAACAUCUCUCCUUGUUGUUGUUGAAAACUUCUCAACCCUUUUCUCACAUC
RNAcentral lists this small nucleolar RNA (107 nucleotides) under Helianthus annuus (common sunflower). Its description in RNAcentral is "Plant small nucleolar RNA R71". It matches the Rfam family "Plant small nucleolar RNA R71". Rfam says of the family: R71 is a member of the C/D box family of snoRNAs containing the C (UGAUGA) and D (CUGA) box motifs. Multiple nearly identical copies of this snoRNA have been identified in Arabidopsis, and it is thought to function as a 2'-O-ribose methylation guide for 18S ribosomal RNA. The record is from RNAcentral. Lineage: Eukaryota; Viridiplantae; Streptophyta; Magnoliopsida; Asterales; Asteraceae.